GAUGAACGCUAGCGGCAGGCCUAAUACAUGCAAGUCGAACGGGAUCCAGAUCAAAGCUUGCUUUGGUCUGGUGAGAGUGGCGCACGGGUGCGUAACGCGUGAGCAACCUACCCUUGUCAGGGGGAUAGCCCGGCGAAAGUCGGAUUAAUACCGCAUGACAUCAUUGAGAGGCAUCUUUCGAUGAUCAAAGAUUUAUCGGACAAGGAUGGGCUCGCGUGACAUUAGCUAGUUGGUAAGGUAACGGCUUACCAAGGCUGCGAUGUCUAGGGGCUCUGAGAGGAGAAUCCCCCACACUGGUACUGAGACACGGACCAGACUCCUACGGGAGGCAGCAGUAAGGAAUAUUGGUCAAUGGACGGAAGUCUGAACCAGCCAUGCCGCGUGCAGGAGGACGGCCCUAUGGGUUGUAAACUGCUUUUAUACGGUAACAAACGUCGGUACGUGUACCGGUCUGAGUGUACCGUAAGAAUAAGGAUCGGCUAACUCCGUG
Molecule: ribosomal RNA, 490 nt
Filed under: uncultured bacterium
Lineage: Bacteria
Description: partial 16S ribosomal RNA
Rfam family: Bacterial small subunit ribosomal RNA
Source: RNAcentral